RNAcentral lists this ribosomal RNA (510 nucleotides) under uncultured bacterium. RNAcentral describes it as "partial 16S ribosomal RNA". It matches the Rfam family "Bacterial small subunit ribosomal RNA", at positions 28 to 507 of the family's 1533-position model. The record is from RNAcentral.
GACGAACGCUGGCGGCGUGCUUAACACAUGCAAGUCGAACGAAGAGCGAUGGAAGCUUGCUUCUAUCAAUCUUAGUGGCGAACGGGUGAGUAACGCGUAAUCAACCUGCCCUUCAGAGGGGGACAACAGUUGGAAACGACUGCUAAUACCGCAUACGAUCUAAUCUCGGCAUCGAGGAUAGAUGAAAGGUGGCCUCUACAUGUAAGCUAUCACUGAAGGAGGGGAUUGCGUCUGAUUAGCUAGUUGGAGGGGUAACGGCCCACCAAGGCGAUGAUCAGUAGCCGGUCUGAGAGGAUGAACGGCCACAUUGGGACUGAGACACGGCCCAGACUCCUACGGGAGGCAGCAGUGGGGAAUCUUCCGCAAUGGACGAAAGUCUGACGGAGCAACGCCGCGUGAGUGAUGACGGCCUUCGGGUUGUAAAGCUCUGUUAAUCGGGACGAAAGGCCUUCUUGCGAAUAGUGAGAAGGAUUGACGGUACCGGAAGAAAAAGCCACGGCUAACUACGUG